Long non-coding RNA from Eubalaena glacialis (North Atlantic right whale), 698 nucleotides. RefSeq lists it as uncharacterized. The transcript has 5 exons. The record is from RefSeq and is a predicted model, not a curated record. Lineage: Eukaryota; Metazoa; Chordata; Mammalia; Artiodactyla; Balaenidae.
GGAGCCAAGGCCCAGAGUCACGGAGCAUCAAUAAUCCUAAUGGCACACGUGCACAACGCUCACAGAGGGACCUCAACACACUCCCAGGGGUUUGCGGAAGAGAAGGCCUAGGAGGACCGACAACUUCUCUCCAACCUGCACAUCAGAGCUGGCCGGGCUCCCAGGGAAGUCUCAGAGCAUGAAUGGACUCCUUGCCCCACCCCGCAACAAGCAGAGAAACAGCCAACACCGGGGACCUCCUCCUGGGUGGCCUCCGUGCUUAACCCUGCAGUUUCCACCUACAGAACAAGCACCAACUCCAGCCUGGAGACACCAAGCCAAGGGCCAACCUUGCCUUCUGUUCGCCCUGCACUGCCCAUCUAAAUCUCUGAGGUGGAGGAGGUGGUCUCUGCGGUGGAGGAGAGGCUUCAGCGGCACGUGAUGCGCCGAGAGGUGUGCCCAGCCUGGCGUGGAGCUGGGUAAAAGAGAGAAAGAGAACCAUGUACAGCAUGGAAGCUUUUUGUCAAUUUCUUGACUGUGGCAAGAUUUUAAUCUGCUGCCUUAAAGAAUCCCUGAAAACCACCCCUGUGAGGAUCAAGAAAGGGAUGAAAUACUGGUUUAUACAAUCCACUGUUGCAUGUAGCCUGAAAAUAACACUUUUCAUUAAAAAAGAAAAAUCAAGAAGAGCUUGAACACUCUGCUCCAGGGAGCUCGGAUUU